This is a long non-coding RNA of Drosophila grimshawi, 725 nucleotides long. RefSeq lists it as uncharacterized. Lineage: Eukaryota; Metazoa; Arthropoda; Insecta; Diptera; Drosophilidae. The record is from RefSeq and is a predicted model, not a curated record. The transcript has 11 exons.
CAUUAUUACCGUGUACAUCUACAGUUCUUAUAAACUUUUCCUAACUUAAUGCUACUCAGCAUUGAAUCAUUUUUGCUAUACUACUUGCAUUUACUCAUAUUGUGCAUUCAUUUGCCACAAAUUUUCAACUUAAAAAAUGAUAUUUUCACACACGUGGCUGGAAGCCGGUUUCUGUACUGGAAGGGGAAUGGCUUCGGGUCAGAGAUGUCCUUGCUUGCCAGUUUGAAUGAUGGCAUUCCACUCAGAAUGAUGAACUUCUUUUAUGGCCCGAUGAGAUCGUCAUUUCCUUGCGAGACUCGAUAAGACGACAUCACUCGCAUAAAAUAUGGAAAUAAAGUUCGUUUUAUACAGCAAGGGUAAUCUCCAAUUGAAGGCACCCGUCUGUUGGGAAUUAUUCUGUGUCGAUAACACUUGAAGCGCAACGUCAACCAGAUAAUGUCAAAAUGGAAAGACAACUUCAAAUUUACAGCCAGAGAGAGUUGCUGUGUCUUGGUAUUUCUCGCUGCAUCACAUGAAAGACAAUUUAAGCUCUUGCUCGAUAUUUAGUCGACAUUCUGAAAUUACAUUUGAGGGCGAGAAGACUGCAAAAGGUCACAGAUCUGGAUAACUCUUACAAUGGACUGCCUAUAUUCAGAGGAAUCUUGUUAAGAAUGGCGACCUGGUUAAAUGAUGGAUUGUCUCCCAGUCAGUCCAGUCUGUAGUACAUUUCUUUAAAUAAAUAAUUA